AUGGAGAGUUUGAUCCUGGCUCAGGAUGAACGCUGGCGGCGUGCCUAAUACAUGCAAGUCGAGCGAACGGACGAGAAGCUUGCUUCUCUGAUGUUAGCGGCGGACGGGUGAGUAACACGUGGAUAACCUACCUAUAAGACUGGGAUAACUUCGGGAAACCGGAGCUAAUACCGGAUAAUAUUUUGAACCGCAUGGUUCAAAAGUGAAAGACGGUCUUGCUGUCACUUAUAGAUGGAUCCGCGCUGCAUUAGCUAGUUGGUAAGGUAACGGCUUACCAAGGCAACGAUGCAUAGCCGACCUGAGAGGGUGAUCGGCCACACUGGAACUGAGACACGGUCCAGACUCCUACGGGAGGCAGCAGUAGGGAAUCUUCCGCAAUGGGCGAAAGCCUGACGGAGCAACGCCGCGUGAGUGAUGAAGGUCUUCGGAUCGUAAAACUCUGUUAUUAGGGAAGAACAUAUGUGUAAGUAACUGUGCACAUCUUGACGGUACCUAAUCAGAAAGCCACGGCUAACUACGUGCCAGCAGCCGCGGUAAUACGUAGGUGGCAAGCGUUAUCCGGAAUUAUUGGGCGUAAAGCGCGCGUAGGCGGUUUUUUAAGUCUGAUGUGAAAGCCCACGGCUCAACCGUGGAGGGUCAUUGGAAACUGGAAAACUUGAGUGCAGAAGAGGAAAGUGGAAUUCCAUGUGUAGCGGUGAAAUGCGCAGAGAUAUGGAGGAACACCAGUGGCGAAGGCGACUUUCUGGUCUGUAACUGACGCUGAUGUGCGAAAGCGUGGGGAUCAAACAGGAUUAGAUACCCUGGUAGUCCACGCCGUAAACGAUGAGUGCUAAGUGUUAGGGGGUUUCCGCCCCUUAGUGCUGCAGCUAACGCAUUAAGCACUCCGCCUGGGGAGUACGACCGCAAGGUUGAAACUCAAAGGAAUUGACGGGGACCCGCACAAGCGGUGGAGCAUGUGGUUUAAUUCGAAGCAACGCGAAGAACCUUACCAAAUCUUGACAUCCUUUGACAACUCUAGAGAUAGAGCCUUCCCCUUCGGGGGACAAAGUGACAGGUGGUGCAUGGUUGUCGUCAGCUCGUGUCGUGAGAUGUUGGGUUAAGUCCCGCAACGAGCGCAACCCUUAAGCUUAGUUGCCAUCAUUAAGUUGGGCACUCUAAGUUGACUGCCGGUGACAAACCGGAGGAAGGUGGGGAUGACGUCAAAUCAUCAUGCCCCUUAUGAUUUGGGCUACACACGUGCUACAAUGGACAAUACAAAGGGCAGCGAAACCGCGAGGUCAAGCAAAUCCCAUAAAGUUGUUCUCAGUUCGGAUUGUAGUCUGCAACUCGACUACAUGAAGCUGGAAUCGCUAGUAAUCGUAGAUCAGCAUGCUACGGUGAAUACGUUCCCGGGUCUUGUACACACCGCCCGUCACACCACGAGAGUUUGUAACACCCGAAGCCGGUGGAGUAACCUUUUAGGAGCUAGCCGUCGAAGGUGGGACAAAUGAUUGGGGUGAAGUCGUAACAAGGUAGCCGUAUCGGAAGGUGCGGCUGGAUCACCUCCUUUCUAAGG
RNAcentral lists this ribosomal RNA (1555 nucleotides) under Staphylococcus aureus O11. RNAcentral describes it as "16S ribosomal RNA". It matches the Rfam family "Bacterial small subunit ribosomal RNA". Lineage: Bacteria; Bacillati; Bacillota; Bacilli; Caryophanales; Staphylococcaceae. The record is from RNAcentral.